GGGCAGCUGUUCUGAAUCCUAUCUUGUUGCUGGGAAAGGGAGGAAGGGCUGCUGUAGUGGAUUCUCCUGGUAAUUGCAAGCCCAGCUGAGGACAGGUCCAUGCUGACAGGCCGAGCAGCAGCAGGACAGGCUUGUCUACAGAGAUAAACAACUGGUUGGCUGAGCGGGGCCUCUACUUGUGCCCCGCCUCUGCGUCUUGCUGUGAGGACAUAAGUUCUUCCAGAGUCACUGCUUCACUAUAGUUACAUUUGAAAGACAGUCAAACCCUUGCUGAUAUGAAGAUUUUUCUAAGACUUAGCUCUUCUCUUCUGAAGAAUUAAUAGACUGAGAUGGAUCUGUUAAUAUCUUCUCCAUGAUACAAAGAAGAUGAACCCACACGCUGGUUGAGCCAGGGCUUGGUUAUGUUGCCCUGACCAUGGAGCUGUCCAAAGAUUCUUUUGGAGAAGCAAAUGGCAACCCACUCCAGUACUCUUGCCUGGGAAAGUCCAUGGACAGAGGAGCCUGGCGGACUACAGUCCUUGGGGAUCACAAAGAGUCGGACAUGACUGAGCAGCUGAACGACAACAGUGCUGCCGAGGCUUUUCAGGGAAGCUCUGGAGCCCAUUAGUCCUUUACUGCCAUAGGUCUAGAGACUUGCCUAACCUCUCUGAGCCUUGUUUUCUCAUCUGUGAAAUGGGAAUAGCAGCCUCGACCUCACAGCCUUGCUGGGAGUAUUAGGAUGUGGAGACCAGGGCUCAGCAGUGUUACUGACCCUUACACACUGAAGUGAACAUUCAGGAACAGCAGAAUGAAUGGACUGAUCAGAGUUUGGAAAUGUCUUUUCCACUGGCUUUUCCCGAGCUUUCCAAAGCUGGAGCUGUUUUUCCCUUCUCACCACUUCUCCUGGCUCCUCAUUCACCCUCCUCUCUAGCUCCACUGGGAUGCUCUGCCUUCCACGUCCUUCCCACCCCUCAAGUCUCAGCUCUCUCAUUUUGUAACCCCUCAGUCACUUCCUUCCAUGCUUCCAAUCCCCGGAGAGGGCCCCUCCAACCCACAGUUCACAGCAGACUUGCUGUCUGAACCACAUCCUCUUUAAACCAUUAUGGAAUCUUAUUCCUCCACCACUGGAGUGUAAACGUCCAAAGGCCUGGGGUCCUAUCCCUCUUCCAGAAACCAGACACAGACUAGGAAACAUGCCACCAGCUCAUCGAUUCUUGUUCAGUGAAUGAAUUCAUCAUCUUCACAAAUUCUUACAGAAUGAGUCAAAUAAAAAAUAUAAGUGCUUGCUAAGUCCUGCCCCGUAGCUUAGCAUCCAAGCCUGUUAUACUCUGUAUCCAGACUCCCUGUUCCGCCCUCAGUUUCAGCCAAGUGCCCUCAUGCUGUGCCUCUCACUGAUUUCUGCCUUUGGACCUUUGUUUUCUCUGUUCUUUGUCUCUUGAAUGACCCCUGUACUCGACCAAGGUCCCACUUAUCCAUCUAGGUUCAAGUUCAGUGCCAGCUUACCUACAGAGUCAGCUUCCCCACAGAGUCAGCUUCCCCUUCAAACAGAAUCCCUCUUUCCUUUCCUUAUUCUCACUGAUUUUAGACACACUUUAAAAAUGUCUGUCCAUUUUUUUUUUGCCUGUAUAUGCUUAUUUAGGUAUGUCCCCCAACUCCAUUUAAACUUCUUGAGAACAGAGACCAUAUUUUGCCCUCACAAGGUUAUUAUGAGGGUUAAUGAGAUAGCAUAGGUUAGAAAAGCACAGAGUUACUUGUGUUACAUUUGUGGCAUCUUAGGACUUCCCUGGUGGUCCAGUGGCUAAGACUCUAUGCUCCCAAUGCAGGGGGCCCAGGUUCGAUCCCUAGUCAGAGAACUAAAAGAUCCUGCAUGCCACAGCUAAGACCUGGUGGGGACAAAUAAAUAAAAUAUACUUUUAAAAAUUGUGGUAUCUUGGUCACCCUCCACCCAUUUGUUGCUCCAAGACCUAGUUCUCAGCUUGGUAAACAUAUGCUUGAUAAUCUGUACUGCAUAAAUGAUUAAAAAAAAAAUAAAAGGAGCCCUCUUGGAGGUCUGUGCUUGAAAGUAGGAUAGGAGGAUCAUUGAAUGUAUUAAGUGAUGAAAGAAGGUUCUGGCUUCAUCUGCUUCCUUUUCCCCUUCCUUGCCCUAUGAGAGCACCAGUGCAGGACUGGUGUGGUU
Long non-coding RNA from Bos taurus (domestic cattle), 2155 nucleotides. Lineage: Eukaryota; Metazoa; Chordata; Mammalia; Artiodactyla; Bovidae. The record is from Ensembl.